Long non-coding RNA from Marmota marmota marmota (Alpine marmot), 517 nucleotides. Lineage: Eukaryota; Metazoa; Chordata; Mammalia; Rodentia; Sciuridae. The record is from Ensembl.
GUGAAAGUGUAGGAGCAACCUUGAAUGUGGGCUCCCGGCCCUGAGUCCCUGGGCACUGCCUGUUCCCUGGCCUGCCACUCCUACAUACUACACCCAAGAGCACCCGACACUGCCCAGUUCUGGAUGGAUGCACUCUGGUCCUGCCCUGGUGAACAAAUGGCUGUGUGACCUUGGGUAAGACACUUCCUCACCUGUCAUCUGUCCCUCCUUUGCAGCCCUUAACAGGCUGUGGCUUUGUGAGUCAGUGUCCAAGUGAUGCUUGCCACCUCCCCUCAUGUUACCUGGGCUGCUGUGGUGCCUGCCCUCCCCGCCGCCACCACGCACACAUACUUUGUUCCCUCCCAGUCUGGAGCUGCUGAGAGGAACACUGGGUACAGAGUGUGAGAAGGGAUGCUGGGGCAUCCUGCUGUCCGUCAACCCUGCUCUCAUCUGCCCACCUCCCCUGGGUUACCCACCAAGGAUCACGAAGCCGAAACCUGGAGACUAGCAAGACCCUGGAACACACUCUCAGCAGUGG